GCGGGUGCCUAAUACAUGCAAGUCGAGCGGACAGAUGGGAGCUUGCUCCCUGAUGUUAGCGGCGGACGGGUGAGUAACACGUGGGUAACCUGCCUGUAAGACUGGGAUAACUCCGGGAAACCGGGGCUAAUACCGGAUGGUUGUCUGAACCGCAUGGUUCAGACAUAAAAGGUGGCUUCGGCUACCACUUACAGAUGGACCCGCGGCGCAUUAGCUAGUUGGUGAGGUAACGGCUCACCAAGGCGACGAUGCGUAGCCGACCUGAGAGGGUGAUCGGCCACACUGGGACUGAGACACGGCCCAGACUCCUACGGGAGGCAGCAGUAGGGAAUCUUCCGCAAUGGACGAAAGUCUGACGGAGCAACGCCGCGUGAGUGAUGAAGGUUUUCGGAUCGUAAAGCUCUGUUGUUAGGGAAGAACAAGUGCCGUUCAAAUAGGGCGGCACCUUGACGGUACCUAACCAGAAAGCCACGGCUAACUACGUGCCAGCAGCCGCGGUAAUACGUAGGUGGCAAGCGUUGUCCGGAAUUAUUGGGCGUAAAGGGCUCGCAGGCGGUUUCUUAAGUCUGAUGUGAAAGCCCCCGGCUCAACCGGGGAGGGUCAUUGGAAACUGGGGAACUUGAGUGCAGAAGAGGAGAG
RNAcentral lists this ribosomal RNA (639 nucleotides) under Bacillus amyloliquefaciens. Its description in RNAcentral is "bacterial SSU rRNA". It matches the Rfam family "Bacterial small subunit ribosomal RNA", at positions 39 to 661 of the family's 1533-position model. Lineage: Bacteria; Bacillati; Bacillota; Bacilli; Caryophanales; Bacillaceae. The record is from RNAcentral.